UCUAAUACCGGAUAACGACUACUGGGGGCAUCUCUGGUGGUGGAAAGCUCCGGCGGUGCAGGAUGAGCCCGCGGCCUAUCAGCUUGUUGGUGGGGUGAUGGCCUACCAAGGCGACGACGGG
RNAcentral lists this ribosomal RNA (121 nucleotides) under Streptomyces lilacinus. RNAcentral describes it as "partial 16S rRNA". It matches the Rfam family "Bacterial small subunit ribosomal RNA", at positions 162 to 283 of the family's 1533-position model. The record is from RNAcentral. Lineage: Bacteria; Bacillati; Actinomycetota; Actinomycetes; Kitasatosporales; Streptomycetaceae.